UCCAGACUCCUACGGGAGGCAGCAGUGGGGGAUAUUGCACAAUGGGGGGAACCCUGAUGCAGCGACGCCGCGUGGGUGAAGGAGCGUUUCGGCGCGUAAAGCCCUAUCGGCAGGGAAGAAGGAGGACGGUACCUGACUAAGAAGCCCCGGCUAACUACGUGCCAGCAGCCGCGGUAAUACGUAGGGGGCAAGCGUUAUCCGGAUUUACUGGGUGUAAAGGGGGCGCAGACGGCAGCGCAAGCCAGGAGUGAAAGCCCGGGGCCCAACCCCGGGACUGCUCUUGGAACUGCGCGGCUGGAGUGCAGGAGGGGCAGGCGGAAUUCCUGGUGUAGCGGUGAAAUGCGUAGAUAUCAGGAGGAACACCGGUGGCGAAGGCGGCCUGCUGGACUGCGACUGACGUUGAGGCCCGAAAGCGUGGGGAGCAAACAGGAUUAGAUACCCCCGUAAUA
RNAcentral lists this ribosomal RNA (449 nucleotides) under uncultured bacterium. Its description in RNAcentral is "partial 16S ribosomal RNA". It matches the Rfam family "Bacterial small subunit ribosomal RNA", at positions 330 to 795 of the family's 1533-position model. The record is from RNAcentral.